Earliella scabrosa is the source of this 93-nucleotide non-coding RNA. The record is from the annotation of a GenBank genome assembly. NCBI's taxonomy places the organism in Eukaryota, Fungi, Basidiomycota, Agaricomycetes, Polyporales, Polyporaceae.
GGUGCUAUAGUGUAGUGGUUAUCACUUGGGAUUUUGAUCUCUUGGGCCGUAGCUAUCUUUCCCAAAACCCAGGUUCGAACCCUGGUAGCACCU